GCGGCGUGCCUAAUACAUGCAAGUAGAACGCUGAAGAGAGGAGCUUGCUCUUCUUGGAUGAGUUGCGAACGGGUGAGUAACGCGUAGGUAACCUGCCUUGUAGCGGGGGAUAACUAUUGGAAACGAUAGCUAAUACCGCAUAACAAUGGAUGACACAUGUCAUUUAUUUGAAAGGGGCAAUUGCUCCACUACAAGAUGGACCUGCGUUGUAUUAGCUAGUAGGUGAGGUAACGGCUCACCUAGGCGACGAUACAUAGCCGACCUGAGAGGGUGAUCGGCCACACUGGGACUGAGACACGGCCCAGACUCCUACGGGAGGCAGCAGUAGGGAAUCUUCGGCAAUGGGGGCAACCCUGACCGAGCAACGCCGCGUGAGUGAAGAAGGUUUUCGGAUCGUAAAGCUCUGUUGUAAGUCAAGAACGAGUGUGAGAGUGGAAAGUUCACACUGUGACGGUAGCUUACCAGAAAGGGACGGCUAACUACGUGCCAGCAGCCGCGGUAAUACGUAGGCCCCGAGCGUUGUCCGGAUUUAUUGGGCGUAAAGCGAGCGCAGGCGGUUUGAUAAGUCUGAAGUUAAAGGCUGUGGCUCAACCAUAGUUCGCUUUGGAAACUGUCAAACUUGAGUGCAGAAGGGGAGAGUGGAAUUCCAUGUGUAGCGGUGAAAUGCGUAGAUAUAUGGAGGAACACCGGUGGCGAAAGCGGCUCUCUGGUCUGUAACUGACGCUGAGGCUCGAAAGCGUGGGGAGCGAACAGGAUUAGAUACCCUGGUAGUCCACGCCGUAAACGAUGAGUGCUAGGUGUUGGAUCCUUUCCGGGAUUCAGUGCCGCAGCUAACGCAUUAAGCACUCCGCCUGGGGAGUACGACCGCAAGGUUGAAACUCAAAGGAAUUGACGGGGGCCCGCACAAGCGGUGGAGCAUGUGGUUUAAUUCGAAGCAACGCGAAGAACCUUACCAGGUCUUGACAUCCCGAUGCUAUUUCUAGAGAUAGAAAGUUACUUCGGUACAUCGGUGACAGGUGGUGCAUGGUUGUCGUCAGCUCGUGUCGUGAGAUGUUGGGUUAAGUCCCGCAACGAGCGCAACCCCUAUUGUUAGUUGCCAUCAUUCAGUUGGGCACUCUAGCGAGACUGCCGGUAAUAAACCGGAGGAAGGUGGGGAUGACGUCAAAUCAUCAUGCCCCUUAUGACCUGGGCUACACACGUGCUACAAUGGUUGGUACAACGAGUUGCGAGUCGGUGACGGCAAGCUAAUCUCUUAAAGCCAAUCUCAGUUCGGAUUGUAGGCUGCAACUCGCCUACAUGAAGUCGGAAUCGCUAGUAAUCGCGGAUCAGCACGCCGCGGUGAAUACGUUCCCGGGCCUUGUACACACCGCCCGUCACACCACGAGAGUUUGUAACACCCGAAGUCGGUGAGGUAACCUUUAGGAGCCAGCCGCCUAAGGUGGGAUAGAUGAUUGGGGUGAAGUAG
Molecule: ribosomal RNA, 1465 nt
Filed under: uncultured organism
Description: SSU rRNA
Rfam family: Bacterial small subunit ribosomal RNA
Source: RNAcentral